UACGUAGGGGGCAAGCGUUGUCCGGAAUCAUUGGGCGUAAAGCGCGUGUAGGCGGUUCGGUAAGUCUGCUGUGAAAGUCCAGGGCUCAACCCUGGGAUGCCGGUGGAUACUGUCGAACUAGAGUACGGAAGAGGCGAGUGGAAUUCCCGGUGUAGCGGUGAAAUGCGCAGAUAUCGGGAGGAACACCAAUUGCGAAGGCAGCUCGCUGGGACGUCACUGACGCUGAGACGCGAAAGCGUGGGGAGCAAACAGGG
Molecule: ribosomal RNA, 254 nt
Filed under: uncultured bacterium
Lineage: Bacteria
Description: partial 16S ribosomal RNA
Rfam family: Bacterial small subunit ribosomal RNA
Source: RNAcentral